AUUAAAAAUGAUGGAAUAAUGAAAAUGAGGAGAAAAGGGCGAAAGCAAUAGGGCAACAGAAAGCAUGUGAGAUUGGAGCGCAUUCGUUUGGAGUAUUGGUGUUUGGUUCGUGGUCGUCCCCUACUCGAGGAAUACGGCGUGUUUGGAUGUGGCUGCUAAGGUUGGAAUUUAUGUAGACUAAAGGGAUGGAGUGUUUGUGAAUUUCUAGGCAAUGGGGUUUUUAUUAUUUUGUAGUGUUAAUGAUUAUUAUUCAUAAAAAUUACAAAAAGCAAAAACUUUAGGACUUUAGGACUUUAUGCUUUGCUUGUAUUUGGUAAGGUUAAGUAUGUGAAAAAGGUGAUGAGGGUUUUCCAAAGUGAUAUAAAGAAAUGAACUUUUUGCUUUUGGAAUAUCAACUGCCUAACUCACUA
Molecule: long non-coding RNA, 410 nt
Organism: Cucumis sativus (cucumber)
Lineage: Eukaryota; Viridiplantae; Streptophyta; Magnoliopsida; Cucurbitales; Cucurbitaceae
Exons: 2
Source: RefSeq, a predicted model, not a curated record